UUUUAUGGAGAGUUUGAUCCUGGCUCAGGAUGAACGCUGGCGGCGUGCCUAAUACAUGCAAGUCGAGCGAACAGACGAGGAGCUUGCUCCUCUGACGUUAGCGGCGGACGGGUGAGUAACACGUGGAUAACCUACCUAUAAGACUGGGAUAACUUCGGGAAACCGGAGCUAAUACCGGAUAAUAUAUUGAACCGCAUGGUUCAAUAGUGAAAGACGGUUUUGCUGUCACUUAUAGAUGGAUCCGCGCCGCAUUAGCUAGUUGGUAAGGUAACGGCUUACCAAGGCAACGAUGCGUAGCCGACCUGAGAGGGUGAUCGGCCACACUGGAACUGAGACACGGUCCAGACUCCUACGGGAGGCAGCAGUAGGGAAUCUUCCGCAAUGGGC
This 387-nucleotide ribosomal RNA is filed under the name Staphylococcus epidermidis NIH06004. RNAcentral's name for it is "bacterial SSU rRNA". It matches the Rfam family "Bacterial small subunit ribosomal RNA", at positions 1 to 376 of the family's 1533-position model. Lineage: Bacteria; Bacillati; Bacillota; Bacilli; Caryophanales; Staphylococcaceae. The record is from RNAcentral.